AGUGAACGCUGGCGGCGUGCCUAAUACAUGCGAGUCGAACGGAGAUUAAGUAGCUUGCUAUUUAAUCUUAGUGGCGCACGGGUGAGUAAUAUAUAGCUAACUUGCCCAUUACUAAGGGACAGCAGUUGGAAACGACUGCUAAUACCUUAUACUCCGUAUCUAUAUAAGUAGAUACGGGAAAGUUUUUCGGUAAUGGAUAGGGCUAUAUCGUAUCAGCUAGUUGGUAAGGUAAUGGCUUACCAAGGCUAUGACGCGUAACUGGUCUGAGAGGAUGAUCAGUCACACUGGAACUGAGACACGGUCCAGACUCCUACGGGAGGCAGCAGUAGGGAAUAUUGCUCAAUGGGGGAAACCCUGAAGCAGCAACGCCGCGUGGAGGAUGACACUUUUCGGAGCGUAAACUCCUUUUCUUGGGAAAGAAUUAUGACGGUACCCAAGGAAUAAGCACCGGCUAACUCCGUG
Molecule: ribosomal RNA, 462 nt
Filed under: uncultured bacterium
Lineage: Bacteria
Description: partial 16S ribosomal RNA
Rfam family: Bacterial small subunit ribosomal RNA
Source: RNAcentral